UUUGAGAGCCUAUGUGGUAUUUUGAUAUCUUUCAAAAUUUUACUCUCCACUUGGUAUAUCAAAUUAAAUAUUAUUUUAUUACACUAUUUUCUUUUCUUUUUAUUUUAUUAAACUAUUAUUUUCUAGGUUUGGAAUGAAGACUCCAGAGUCCCAACCCAACCCCACUCCUACACGCAGAGAAAGAGAGAUAGAGCUCCCAUUUCCUUCCCGAGACAAACGAAAGAGUUUGGUUGUCAAGAAAAUUAAAGCGCCGCUGCCUCUUUCUUCGUCUCGCCUUUCUUUGACUCCUCGACGAACAGCUGAACCAGAUUCCCGUCGUUGGGCUCGAUCAACCUGUUUGAAAUUCAGAGCCUUUGGCGGGUCAUGGGCUUGGACCCGAUAUGGGUUGAGAGCUUGAGGACAGGGGCGAAAUGGGCAGAUGACGACUUGGGGAAAGAGUGAGAGGGGUAAGGGGUGUUGACGGAAAGGGUGGCCAUGGAUGCCAUUGAAGGAGGUGAGAGAGGAGAGUUGCAGAUCUGAUAAAAAAAUUAAUAAAAAAAUGUUAAACGUUGCUGUCAAAUUUGAUAGCAAAGGGGAAAGCUGUCAUACCAUGUCAUGCUAUAUCAGAUUUAGCUUUUUGAUUGGAAAGCAUUGCAACUGUCUUUUUUUACUGUUAUUGUUGAUUUGGACAUUUUGACAUCUCCUUUGGAGAUGCUCUUAGUCAUCUUAUGGUUCCUUUUUUUUUUCGGAAAACAUUAAUUCAUUAAAGAAAAUAAAUGUAUAAUUUGUGAUGGUUGGAUCUAAGGAACGAAAAAAAUUUCUACAUGGCAUGAACAAGGAGUGGUACGCUAUGUGUCAUUAUAUAAGUGCAGAGAAUUUUUAUUUUUUUUCAAGUGUCCCUCUACUUGUAUAAUGACAUCUGAGAUUUAUACUC
This is a non-coding RNA of Malus domestica (apple), 913 nucleotides long. Lineage: Eukaryota; Viridiplantae; Streptophyta; Magnoliopsida; Rosales; Rosaceae. The record is from RefSeq and is a predicted model, not a curated record.